This 1346-nucleotide ribosomal RNA is filed under the name uncultured bacterium. RNAcentral's name for it is "partial 16S ribosomal RNA". It matches the Rfam family "Bacterial small subunit ribosomal RNA", at positions 28 to 1381 of the family's 1533-position model. The record is from RNAcentral.
GACGAACGCUGGCGGCGUGCUUAACACAUGCAAGUCGAACGGAAAGGCCCUGCUUUUGUGGGGUGCUCGAGUGGCGAACGGGUGAGUAACACGUGAGUAACCUGCCCUUGACUUUGGGAUAACUUCAGGAAACUGGGGCUAAUACCGGAUAGGAGCUCCUGCUGCAUGGUGGGGGUUGGAAAGUUUCGGCGGUUGGGGAUGGACUCGCGGCUUAUCAGCUUGUUGGUGGGGUAGUGGCUUACCAAGGCUUUGACGGGUAGCCGGCCUGAGAGGGUGACCGGCCACAUUGGGACUGAGAUACGGCCCAGACUCCUACGGGAGGCAGCAGUGGGGAGUAUUGCACAAUGGGCGGAAGCCUGAUGCAGCAACGCCGCGUGCGGGAUGACGGCCUUCGGGUUGUAAACCGCUUUCGCCUGUGACGAAGCGUGAGUGACGGUAAUGGGUAAAGAAGCACCGGCUAACUACGUGCCAGCAGCCGCGGUGAUACGUAGGGUGCGAGCGUUGUCCGGAUUUAUUGGGCGUAAAGGGCUCGUAGGUGGUUGAUCGCGUCGGAAGUGUAAUCUUGGGGCUUAACCCUGAGCGUGCUUUCGAUACGGGUUGACUUGAGGAAGGUAGGGGAGAAUGGAAUUCCUGGUGGAGCGGUGGAAUGCGCAGAUAUCAGGAGGAACACCAGUGGCGAAGGCGGUUCUCUGGGCCUUUCCUGACGCUGAGGAGCGAAAGCGUGGGGAGCGAACAGGCUUAGAUACCCUGGUAGUCCACGCUGUAAACGGUGGGUACUAGGUGUGGGGUCCAUUCCACGGGUUCCGUGCCGUAGCUAACGCUUUAAGUACCCCGCCUGGGGAGUACGGCCGCAAGGCUAAAACCCAAAGGAAUUGACGGGGCCCCGCACAAGCGGCGGAGCAUGCGGAUUAAUUCGAUGCAACGCGUAGAACCUUACCUGGGUUUGACAUGGAUCGGGAGUGCUCAGAGAUGGGUGUGCCUCUUUUGGGGUCGGUUCACAGGUGGUGCAUGGCUGUCGUCAGCUCGUGUCGUGAGAUGUUGGGUUAAGUCCCGCAACGAGCGCAACCCUUGUUCACUGUUGCCAGCACGUUAUGGUGGGGACUCAGUGGAGACCGCCGGGGUCAACUCGGAGGAAGGUGGGGAUGACGUCAAGUCAUCAUGCCCCUUAUGUCCAGGGCUUCACGCAUGCUACAAUGGCUGGUACAGAGAGUGGCGAGCCUGUGAGGGUGAGCGAAUCUCGGAAAGCCGGUCUCAGUUCGGAUUGGGGUCUGCAACUCGACCUCAUGAAGUCGGAGUCGCUAGUAAUCGCAGAUCAGCAACGCUGCGGUGAAUACGUUCCCGGGGCU